CUACGGGUGGCAGCAGUCAAGAACCUUCCACAAUGGACGAAAGUCUGAUGGAGCGACGCCGCGUGAUCGAUGAAGCUUUUCGAAGUGUAAAGAUCUUUUAUGAGGGAAGAAGUUUAUUGACUGUACCUCAUGAAUAAGGGGCUCCUAACUCUGUGCCAGCAGGAGCGGUAAUACAGAGGCCCCGAGCGUUAUCCGGAAUCAUUGGGCGUAAAGGGUGCGUAGGUGGCUAUAUUAGUCUUUCGUUAAAUCCAUGGGCCUAACCUGUGGCGUGCGAAGGAAACGGUAUAGCUUGAGAGCGAGAGAGGUGAAUGGAACUAAUAGUGUAGGGGUGAAAUCCGUUGAUAUUAUUGGGAACACCAAAAGCGAAGGCAAUUCACUGGCUCGUUUCUGACACUGAUGCACGAGAGCGUGGGUAGCGAAUGGGAUUAGAUACCCGGGUAGUC
Molecule: ribosomal RNA, 443 nt
Filed under: uncultured bacterium
Lineage: Bacteria
Description: partial 16S ribosomal RNA
Rfam family: Bacterial small subunit ribosomal RNA
Source: RNAcentral